Molecule: ribosomal RNA, 1138 nt
Filed under: Flavobacterium sp.
Lineage: Bacteria; Pseudomonadati; Bacteroidota; Flavobacteriia; Flavobacteriales; Flavobacteriaceae
Description: bacterial SSU rRNA
Rfam family: Bacterial small subunit ribosomal RNA
Source: RNAcentral
GGUAUAGUUCUUCGGAACUAGAGACCGGCGCACGGGUGCGUAACGCGUAUGCAAUCUACCUUUUACAGAGGGAUAGCCCAGAGAAAUUUGGAUUAAUACCUCAUAGCAUAGCAGUCUCGCAUGAGAUCACUAUUAAAGUCACAACGGUAAAAGAUGAGCAUGCGUCCCAUUAGCUAGUUGGUAAGGUAACGGCUUACCAAGGCUACGAUGGGUAGGGGUCCUGAGAGGGAGAUCCCCCACACUGGUACUGAGACACGGACCAGACUCCUACGGGAGGCAGCAGUGAGGAAUAUUGGACAAUGGGCGCAAGCCUGAUCCAGCCAUGCCGCGUGCAGGAUGACGGUCCUAUGGAUUGUAAACUGCUUUUAUACGAGAAGAAACACUCCAACGUGUUGGAGCUUGACGGUAUCGUAAGAAUAAGGAUCGGCUAACUCCGUGCCAGCAGCCGCGGUAAUACGGAGGAUCCAAGCGUUAUCCGGAAUCAUUGGGUUUAAAGGGGUCCGUAGGCGGUUUAGUAAGUCAGUGGUGAAAGCCCAUCGCUCAACGGUGGAACGGCCAUUGAUACUGCUAAACUUGAAUUAUUAGGAAGUAACUAGAAUAUGUAGUGUAGCGGUGAAAUGCUUAGAGAUUACAUGGAAUACCAAUUGCGAAGGCAGGUUACUACUAAUGGAUUGACGCUGAUGGACGAAAGCGUGGGUAGCGAACAGGAUUAGAUACCCUGGUAGUCCACGCCGUAAACGAUGGAUACUAGCUGUUGGGAGCAAUCUCAGUGGCUAAGCGAAAGUGAUAAGUAUCCCACCUGGGGAGUACGUUCGCAAGAAUGAAACUCAAAGGAAUUGACGGGGGCCCGCACAAGCGGUGGAGCAUGUGGUUUAAUUCGAUGAUACGCGAGGAACCUUACCAAGGCUUAAAUGUAGAUUGACCGGUUUGGAAACAGAUCUUUCGCAAGACAAUUUACAAGGUGCUGCAUGGUUGUCGUCAGCUCGUGCCGUGAGGUGUCAGGUUAAGUCCUAUAACGAGCGCAACCCCUGUUGUUAGUUGCCAGCGAGUCAUGUCGGGAACUCUAACAAGACUGCCAGUGCAAACUGUGAGGAAGGUGGGGAUGACGUCAAAUCAUCACGGCCCUUACGCCUUGGGC